ACUUUUAAAGGAUAAUAGUCAUACAUUGGUCUUAGGAACCAAAAAUUUUGGUCCAAUUCCAAAUAAAUGUA
Molecule: transfer RNA, 71 nt
Filed under: Sarcophilus harrisii (Tasmanian devil)
Lineage: Eukaryota; Metazoa; Chordata; Mammalia; Dasyuromorphia; Dasyuridae
Rfam family: tRNA
About the family: Transfer RNA (tRNA) molecules are approximately 80 nucleotides in length. Their secondary structure includes four short double-helical elements and three loops (D, anti-codon, and T loops).
Source: Rfam by way of RNAcentral